UACGUAGGGGACAAGCGUUGUCCGGAUUUAUUGGGCGUAAAGAGCGUGUAGGCGGCUAUACAGGUCCGCUGUGAAAACUCGAGGCUCAACCUCGAGACGUCGGUGGAAACCGUAUGGCUAGAGUCCGGAAGAGGAGAGUGGAAUUCCUGGUGUAGCGGUGAAAUGCGCAGAUAUCAGGAAGAACACCCGUGGCGAAGGCGGCUCUCUGGGACGGUACUGACGCUGAGACGCGAAAGCGUGGGGAGCGAACAGG
Molecule: ribosomal RNA, 253 nt
Filed under: uncultured bacterium
Lineage: Bacteria
Description: partial 16S ribosomal RNA
Rfam family: Bacterial small subunit ribosomal RNA
Source: RNAcentral